This 1126-nucleotide ribosomal RNA is filed under the name Candidatus Phytoplasma fraxini. RNAcentral's name for it is "bacterial SSU rRNA". It matches the Rfam family "Bacterial small subunit ribosomal RNA", at positions 196 to 1335 of the family's 1533-position model. Lineage: Bacteria; Bacillati; Mycoplasmatota; Mollicutes; Acholeplasmatales; Acholeplasmataceae. The record is from RNAcentral.
UUUUCGGAAGGUAUGCUUAAAGAUGAGCUUGCGCCACAUUAGUUUGUUGGUGGGGUAAUGGCCUACCAAGACGAUGAUGUGUAGCUGGACUGAGAGGUCGAACAGCCACAUUGGGACUGAGACACGGCCCAAACUCCUACGGGAGGCAGCAGUAGGGAAUUUUCGGCAAUGGAGGAAACUCUGACCGAGCAACGCCGCGUGAACGAUGAAGUAUUUCGGUAUGUAAAGUUCUUUUAUUGAAGAAGAAAAAAUAGUGGAAAAACUAUCUUGACGUUAUUCAAUGAAUAAGCCCCGGCUAACUAUGUGCCAGCAGCCGCGGUAAGACAUAGGGGGCGAGCGUUAUCCGGAAUUAUUGGGCGUAAAGGGUGCGUAGGCGGUUAGGAAAGUCUAUAAUUUAAUUUCAGUGCUUAACGCUGUCUUGUUAUAGAAACUACCUUGACUAGAGUUAGAUAGAGGCAAGCGGAAUUCCAUGUGUAGCGGUAAAAUGUGUAAAUAUAUGGAGGAACACCAGAAGCGUAGGCGGCUUGCUGGGUCUUGACUGACGCUGAGGCACGAAAGCGUGGGUAGCAAACAGGAUUAGAUACCCUGGUAGUCCACGCCGUAAACGAUGAGUACUAAGUGUCGGGAUAAAACUCGGUACUGAAGUUAACACAUUAAGUACUCCGCCUGAGUAGUACGUACGCAAGUAUGAAACUUAAAGGAAUUGACGGGACUCCGCACAAGCGGUGGAUCAUGUUGUUUAAUUCGAAGAUACACGAAAAAUCUUACCAGGUCUUGACAUGCUCUGCAAAGCUAUAGAAAUAUAGUGGAGGUUAUCAGGGACACAGGUGGUGCAUGGUUGUCGUCAGUUCGUGUCGUGAGAUGUUAGGUUAAGUCCUAAAACGAGCGCAACCCUUGUCGUUAGUUACCAGCACGUAAUGGUGGGCACUUUAACGAGACUGCCAAUUAAACAUUGGAGGAAGGUGAGGAUUACGUCAAAUCAUCAUGCCCCUUAUGAUCUGGGCUACAAACGUGAUACAAUGGCUGUUACAAAGAGUAGCUGAAGCGCGAGUUUUUAGCCAAUCUCAAAAAAGCAGUCUCAGUUCGGAUUGAAGUCUGUAACUCGACUUCAUGAAGUUGGAAUCGC